Molecule: long non-coding RNA, 125 nt
Organism: Aplysia californica (California sea hare)
Lineage: Eukaryota; Metazoa; Mollusca; Gastropoda; Aplysiida; Aplysiidae
Exons: 2
Source: RefSeq, a predicted model, not a curated record
CCCCAGGCCAAGGUUGGUGACGUAUGUCAAGACGUUAGCGCGUGCGGCCAGGAAGAAUGUUGUGUCAAGUACGGACCAGACGCGGGGACGUGCCAAAAGAACCUGUCGGAAGACGCACCCUGCCA